AUACGCGUGUGUGAUGAACCGUCUUAGGAUUGUAAAACACUUUCAGCAAGGGAAAAAAUUAUAUAAAUAAUACUUAUAUUAACUGAUAUUACCUGCAAAAGAAGUACCGGCUAACUCCGUGCCAGCAGCCGCGGUAAUACGGAGGGUACAAGCGUUAAUCGGAAUUAUUGGGCGUAAAGAGUACGUAGGUGGUAUAUUAAGUCAGAUGUGAAAUACUUAAGCUUAACUUAAGAACUGCAUUUGAAACUAAUAAACUAGAGUUUUAUAGAGGGGAGUAGAAUUCCAAGUGUAGCGGUGAAAUGCGUAGAUAUUUGGAGGAAUACCAGAGACGAAGGCGACUCCCUGGGUAAUAACUGACACUGAGGUACGAAAGCUUGGGGAGCAAACAGGAUUAGAUACCCUGGUAGUCCAUGCUGUAAACGAUGUCAAUUUGAAGAUUGUAAUAUUAUUAUUUUUUAUAAUUUUCGUAGCUAACGCAUUAAAUUGACCGCCUGGGGAUUACGACCGCAAGGUUAAAACUCAAAUGA
RNAcentral lists this ribosomal RNA (527 nucleotides) under endosymbiont of Sphenophorus levis. RNAcentral's name for it is "bacterial SSU rRNA". It matches the Rfam family "Bacterial small subunit ribosomal RNA", at positions 395 to 908 of the family's 1533-position model. The record is from RNAcentral. Lineage: Bacteria; Pseudomonadati; Pseudomonadota; Gammaproteobacteria.